CGCCUACGGGACGCAGCAGUGAGGGAUAUUGGUCAAUGGGGGAAACCCUGAACCAGCAACGCCGCGUGAGGGAAGACGGUUUUCGGAUUGUAAACCUCUGUCCUCUGUGAAGAUGAUGACGGUAGCAGAGGAGGAAGCUCCGGCUAACUACGUGCCAGCAGCCGCGGUAAUACGUAGGUGGCAAGCGUUGUUCGGAAUAACUGGGCGUAAAGGAUGCGUAGGCGGUUAAACAAGUUAUAUGUUAAAUAUAUAGGCUUAACCUGUAGAAAGCAUAUAAAACUGUUUAACUAGAGUGCAGGAGAGGG
Molecule: ribosomal RNA, 305 nt
Filed under: uncultured bacterium
Lineage: Bacteria
Description: bacterial SSU rRNA
Rfam family: Bacterial small subunit ribosomal RNA
Source: RNAcentral